RNAcentral lists this unclassified non-coding RNA (348 nucleotides) under soil metagenome. Its description in RNAcentral is "partial contains 5.8S ribosomal RNA, internal transcribed spacer 2, and large subunit ribosomal RNA". The stretch from base 1 to 120 matches the Rfam family "5.8S ribosomal RNA", at positions 35 to 154 of the family's 154-position model. The record is from RNAcentral.
GAUGAAGAACGUAGCGAAAUGCGAAAAGUAAUGUGAAUUGCAGAAUUCAGUGAACCAUCGAAUCUUUGAACGCACAUUGCGCCCGCUGGAACUCCGGCGGGCACGCCUGUCCGAGCGUCAUUUCAACCCUCAGGCCCCCCUUCGCGGGCGGGCCUGGUGUUGGGGCCCGGCCGCUACCCUGCGGCCGUCCCCUAAAUUCAGUGGCGGCCUCGCCGUGAUCCCUUGCGUAGUAAUGCACCUCGCACCGGAGAGCGCCGUGGCCACGCCGUAAAACCCCCAAUUUUCAAUGGUUGACCUCGGAUCAGGUAGGAAUACCCGCUGAACUUAAGCAUAUCAAUAAGCGGAGGA